This is a small nucleolar RNA of 103 nucleotides. It matches the Rfam family "Small nucleolar RNA snR64". Rfam says of the family: snR64 is a member of the C/D class of snoRNA which contain the C (UGAUGA) and D (CUGA) box motifs.
UUUGAAUGAUGAGGAACCUGAUAGGGACAACAGAUUCUCGAAUGUGACGAGAAACAUCUUUAUAGCCCAGUUUUUAGUAGAGCUUAGGGCGCCUUUACUGACU